UACGUAGGGUGCAAGCGUUACCCGGAAUUACUGGGCGUAAAGAGUGCGUAGGUGGCUUGUUAAGUCUGUUGUGAAAGCCCCGGGCUCAACCUGGGAAUGGCAAUGGAUACUGGCAAGCUAGAGUGCGGUAGAGGGUAGUGGAAUUCCCGGUGUAGCGGUGAAAUGCGUAGAUAUCGUAAGGAAGACCAGUUGCGAAGGCGGGUCCCUGGACAGUUCCUGACGCUGAGGCACGAAGGUCAGGGGAGCAAACGGG
This 253-nucleotide ribosomal RNA is filed under the name uncultured bacterium. RNAcentral's name for it is "partial 16S ribosomal RNA". It matches the Rfam family "Bacterial small subunit ribosomal RNA", at positions 524 to 776 of the family's 1533-position model. The record is from RNAcentral.